Molecule: ribosomal RNA, 268 nt
Filed under: uncultured bacterium
Lineage: Bacteria
Description: partial 16S ribosomal RNA
Rfam family: Bacterial small subunit ribosomal RNA
Source: RNAcentral
GUCCUGGCCCUAAACGGUGCUCACUUGGUGUGGGAGGGAAUCGACCCCUUCCGUGCCGAAGCUAACGCAUUAAGUGAGCCGCCUGGGGAGUACGGUCGCAAGAUUAAAACUCAAAGAAAUUGACGGGGGCCCGCACAAGCGGUGGAGCAUGUGGCUUAAUUCGAUGCAACGCGAAGAACCUUACCUGGCCUUGACAUGUACGUAGUAGAAGCCCGAAACGGUGACGAGGUAGCAAUACCAGCGUACACAGGUGCUGCAUGGCUGUCGU